This 772-nucleotide ribosomal RNA is filed under the name uncultured Prochlorococcus sp. RNAcentral describes it as "bacterial SSU rRNA". It matches the Rfam family "Bacterial small subunit ribosomal RNA", at positions 730 to 1501 of the family's 1533-position model. The record is from RNAcentral. Lineage: Bacteria; Bacillati; Cyanobacteriota; Cyanophyceae; Synechococcales; Prochlorococcaceae.
UGGGCCAUUACUGACGCUCAUGGACGAAAGCCAGGGGAGCGAAAGGGAUUAGAUACCCCUGUAGUCCUGGCCGUAAACGAUGAACACUAGGUGUCGGGGGAAUCGACCCUUUCGGUGUCGUAGCUAACGCGUUAAGUGUUCCGCCUGGGGAGUACGCACGCAAGUGUGAAACUCAAAGGAAUUGACGGGGGCCCGCACAAGCGGUGGAGUAUGUGGUUUAAUUCGAUGCAACGCGAAGAACCUUACCAGGGUUUGACAUCCUGCGAACCUCUUAGAAAUUUGAGGGUGCCUUCGGGAAUGCAGUGACAGGUGGUGCAUGGCUGUCGUCAGCUCGUGUCGUGAGAUGUUGGGUUAAGUCCCGCAACGAGCGCAACCCACGUUUUUAGUUGCCAGCAUUUAGUUGGGCACUCUAGAAAGACCGCCGGUGAUAAACCGGAGGAAGGUGUGGAUGACGUCAAGUCAUCAUGCCCCUUACACCCUGGGCUACACACGUACUACAAUGCUACGGACAAAGGGCAGCAAACUCGCGAGAGCUAGCAAAUCCCAUAAACCGUGGCUCAGUUCAGAUCGUAGGCUGCAACUCGCCUACGUGAAGUAGGAAUCGCUAGUAAUCGCAGGUCAGCAUACUGCGGUGAAUACGUUCCCGGGCCUUGUACACACCGCCCGUCACACCAUGGAAGUUGGCCAUGCCCGAAGUCGUUACUCCAACCCUUGUGGAGGAGGACGCCGAAGGUGGGGCUAAUGACUGGGGUGAAGUCGUAACAAGGUAACC